Molecule: ribosomal RNA, 503 nt
Filed under: uncultured Rhodocyclaceae bacterium
Lineage: Bacteria; Pseudomonadati; Pseudomonadota; Betaproteobacteria; Rhodocyclales; Rhodocyclaceae
Description: bacterial SSU rRNA
Rfam family: Bacterial small subunit ribosomal RNA
Source: RNAcentral
UGCGCCUUGCCAGCCCGCUCAGAAACUUAAAGGAUUGACGGGGGCCCGGCACAAGCAGCGGAGCAUGUGGCUUAAUUCGACGCAACGCGAAGAACCUUACCAGGGCUUGACAUGCAGGGAAAAGCGGCGGAAACGUCGUGUCCGCAAGGGCCCUGCACAGGUGGUGCAUGGCUGUCGUCAGCUCGUGUCGUGAGAUGUUGGGUUAAGUCCCGCAACGAGCGCAACCCUUGUCAUUAGUUGCCAUCAUUAAGUUGGGCACUCUAAUGAGACUGCCGGUGACAAACCGGAGGAAGGUGGGGAUGACGUCAAGUCCUCAUGGCCCUUAUGGGUAGGGCUUCACACGUCAUACAAUGGUCGGUACAAAGGGUUGCCAAGCCGCGAGGUGGAGCCAAUCCCAGAAAGCCGAUCGUAGUCCGGAUCGGAGUCUGCAACUCGACUCCGUGAAGUCGGAAUCGCUAGUAAUCGUGGAUCAGCAUGCCACGGUGAAUACGUUCCCGGGUCUU